GACGAACGCUGGCGGCGUGCUUAACACAUGCUAGUCGAACGGAAAGGCCCUGCUUUUGUGGGGUGCUCGAGUGGCGAACGGGUGAGUAACACGUGAGUAACCUGCCCUUGACUUUGGGAUAACUUCAGGAAACUGGGGCUAAUACCGGAUAGGAGCUCCUGCUGCAUGGUGGGGGUUGGAAAGUUUCGGCGGUUGGGGAUGGACUCGCGGCUUAUCAGCUUGUUGGUGGGGUAGUGGCUUACCAAGGCUUUGACGGGUAGCCGGCCUGAGAGGGUGACCGGCCACAUUGGGACUGAGAUACGGCCCAGACUCCUACGGGAGGCAGCAGUGGGGAAUAUUGCACAAUGGGCGGAAGCCUGAUGCAGCAACGCCGCGUGCGGGAUGACGGCCUUCGGGUUGUAAACCGCUUUCGCCUGUGACGAAGCGUGAGUGACGGUAAUGGGUAAAGAAGCACCGGCGAACUACGU
This 467-nucleotide ribosomal RNA is filed under the name uncultured bacterium. Its description in RNAcentral is "partial 16S ribosomal RNA". It matches the Rfam family "Bacterial small subunit ribosomal RNA", at positions 28 to 506 of the family's 1533-position model. The record is from RNAcentral.